UGGGGAAUAUUGGACAAUGGAGGAAACUCUGAUCCAGCAAUUCUGUGUGUGUGAAGAAGGUUUUAGGACUGUAAAACACUUUUAGUAGGGAAGAAAAAAAUGACGGUACCUACAGAAGAAGCAACGGCUAAAUACGUGCCAGCAGCCGCGGUAAUACGUAUGUUGCGAGCGUUAUCCGGAAUUAUUGGGCUUAAAGGGCAUCUAGUCGGUAAGACAAGUUGAAGGUGAAAACCUGUGGCUCAACCAUAGGCUUGCCUACAAAACUGUUGAACUAGAGUACUGGAAAGGUGGGUGGAACUACACGAGUAGAGGUGAAAUUCGUAGAUAUGUGUAGGAAUGCCGAUGAUGAAGAUAACUCACUGGACAGAAACUGACGCUGAAGUGCGAAAGCUAGGGGAGCAAACAGG
This 407-nucleotide ribosomal RNA is filed under the name Verrucomicrobiota bacterium. RNAcentral describes it as "Verrucomicrobia bacterium partial 16S ribosomal RNA". It matches the Rfam family "Bacterial small subunit ribosomal RNA", at positions 355 to 776 of the family's 1533-position model. Lineage: Bacteria; Pseudomonadati; Verrucomicrobiota. The record is from RNAcentral.